Molecule: transfer RNA, 75 nt
Filed under: Emticicia sp. TH156
Lineage: Bacteria; Pseudomonadati; Bacteroidota; Cytophagia; Cytophagales; Leadbetterellaceae
Description: tRNA-Ala
Rfam family: tRNA
About the family: Transfer RNA (tRNA) molecules are approximately 80 nucleotides in length. Their secondary structure includes four short double-helical elements and three loops (D, anti-codon, and T loops).
Source: RNAcentral
GGAACAUUGGUGAAAUGGUUAUCACGUUACCCUGGCAGGGUAGUGUUAUGGGUUCGAGUCCCGUAUGUUUCGCGA